Molecule: ribosomal RNA, 253 nt
Filed under: uncultured bacterium
Lineage: Bacteria
Description: partial 16S ribosomal RNA
Rfam family: Bacterial small subunit ribosomal RNA
Source: RNAcentral
UACGGAGGGUGCAAGCGUUGCUCGGAAUUAUUGGGCGUAAAGGGCGCGUAGGCGGCGGGGUAAGUCGGGUGUGAAAUCUCAGAGCUCAACUCUGAAACUGCACUCGAUACUGCUCUGCUUGAGGACUGGAGAGGAGACUGGAAUUCACGGUGUAGCAGUGAAAUGCGUAGAUAUCGUGAGGAAGACCAGUGGCGAAGGCGGGUCUCUGGACAGUUCCUGACGCUGAGGCGCGAAGGCCAGGGGAGCAAACGGG